RNAcentral lists this small RNA (125 nucleotides) under Marmota monax (woodchuck). Lineage: Eukaryota; Metazoa; Chordata; Mammalia; Rodentia; Sciuridae. The record is from RNAcentral.
GCCAGGCCUGGUGGCACAGCCCUGUAAUCCCAGCAGCUUUGGAGGCUGAGACAGAAGGAUUGUGAGUUCAAAGCUAACCUCACCAAUGGUGAGGUGCUAAGCAACUCAGUGAGACCCUGUCUUUA